RNAcentral lists this ribosomal RNA (484 nucleotides) under uncultured bacterium. RNAcentral's name for it is "partial 16S ribosomal RNA". It matches the Rfam family "Bacterial small subunit ribosomal RNA", at positions 29 to 507 of the family's 1533-position model. The record is from RNAcentral.
AUUGAACGCUGGCGGCAUGCUUUACACAUGCCAGUCGAACGGCAGCGCGGGCUUCGGCCUGGCGGCGAGUGGCGAACGGGUGAGUAAUACAUCGGAACGUGCCCAGUAGUGGGGGAUAGCUCGGCGAAAGCCGGAUUAAUACCGCAUACGACCUGAGGGUGAAAGCGGGGGAUCUUCGGACCUCGCGCUAUUGGAGCGGCCGAUGGCAGAUUAGCUAGUUGGUGGGGUAAAGGCCUACCAAGGCGACGAUCUGUAGCUGGUCUGAGAGGACGACCAGCCACACUGGCACUGAGACACGGCCCAGACUCCUACGGGAGGCAGCAGUGGGGAAUUUUGGACAAUGGGCGAAAGCCUGAUCCAGCACUGCCGCGUGUGUGAUGAAGGCCUUCGGGUUGUAAAGCACUUUUGGCGGGAACGAAAAGGACUGUGCCAAUACCACGGUUCGAUGACGGUACCCGCAGAAUAAGCACCGGCUAACUACGUG